UUUUUUUUUAUGAUAGUCACACACAGAGAGAGAGAGAGAGGCAGAGACACAGGCAGAGGGAGAAGCAGGCUCCAUGCACCGGGAGCCCGUAGUGGGAUCCAACCCCGGGUCUCCAGGAUCGCGCCCUGGGCCAAAGGCAGGCGCCAAACCGCUGCGCCACCCAGGGAUCCCACUUGGCCAGUUUUCAAAAAAGAAUAAAUGUUUGUUAGUGAAUAAAUGAUCAAUUAAUACAUCCUUUUGGACAAUCAGACAACUAUACAGAUGAUUUUACAAUAAAGAAACAGCAGUAGCAAAGAAUAUGUUUCUUAAAAAUAUAGAGCCAUAUACAAGACCAAAGAAAUAAGGAUGUGCUGGUGAGGAAUAGGAUCAGGAAUUAAAAAAAAAAAAAAAAAACCUUACCAAAGACUGAGGAAAAAAAAGACACACCUAUAGUUUCUGAGGCUGUAGGCAUUUAUAAAAGGUCAAUGUAAACAUUGAGUGAUGGCAGAAAAUGACUAGUAUUCCUGUAGAAACUCAAAUUCAAGAAGCCUCAAUUUCUGCACAUGCCUGAAACAUGUGAUGAGACCAUCUUUCAUAACUUAAAGGUGCUGCCCUCUAGAAUCAGCUGCCUUACCCUUACCUCAUUCCUCUUAAGCACCUGGCAUUGAUCCUCUCAUCUCUUCUUUCCCUAUCAUUCAGGGUACUUUCCCAUGCUCUAAUAGUGGAAUUACAUCAGACUAAAAAUGAAAGACCUGGGAAAAUAAGGAGAAAGAAUUGGCCAUGUUGUUGUUACUUAAGUGUUUGGAUACAGCCACAUUGUAAUCAGGAUAGAAACUAUCAUAAAACAAGAAAAAGUCUUGGUGAAUAUCUGGCAGAUGGGAUAAAGAAAGCUGCUCAUUUCAAUUUUCACAUUUCAAGGAAAGUUAGAGCCUCACCAAAUAUUCCUAGUAGAAAACAGAGACACACCCAAGACCAGAUGUUGAAUGAAGGGCGGGGUGCACUUAUCCACCCAGACCAAAUUCUGAUAAUUCUCCAACAUCACAGUUAUGUACAAAUCUCUUUGAGCAGGGUUUAGUAAUCCUCAUUUUCCUUGGAGAAACCAAUGGACACAUCUUUGAAUGUCACUGAUCCCUGAAAUGACAUUUAAAAGAGCCUAAUUAAAUAAUAGGAAGUUGGGAGGCAUAGAAAGUAGCUGAUCAGAACUCUGUGUCUCUUAAGAGCAGCUUAGCUAAAUCACUAAAGGGCAAUAUUGUGACAUACUAUUUGUUCAUUAAAAUUUGGGUUUAAGAAAACUUUUAAUGAUAAGGGAAAAGUUCAAGGUAAACAAGGUUAUUAAAGAGAAUUGAAUACCUCUCACAGUUGUUUCUAGAACCCUACAUAUGAAUAUAGUGAACAUACCCAGACUCUGUUGAAAGCUCCUUCUAAUCAAUUCUACUUUAGGCAAUCUAAAGUAGAUUACCUUUAGUGAAUCUCUAGGAAGAAUAUCAGGCUAAUUCACUCUUCUUGACAAAAUGAAAUGCAGUCUCCCUUUUCUUGAAUCUGGGUUGGACCUACAACUUGUUUUAAUCAACAAAAUGUGACAAAAGUGACACUGUGCCAGCUCCAGGUCAGAUACAUAGACGGUUGUUUUGCCCUCAUGGAAGCUCAGGGAAGGAGUCCAGCCAUCUCAUUGGAAAGGCCAGUAAGAGGUCAAAUGAAGAGGGGUAGAUUCUGAGACUACAUGACAAAAAGCUGAGAAACCCAACUGACAGCAAAAAUAGAGGUUAAUAAAUAAAUAAAACUAAUAAAUAUAUUAGUUUUAGGUGUAUCUACAGGCCUGGAUACAGGACCACAUAUAGGACUUCAAGUUACGUAUCACACUCCUGAAUGAAGAGUCUUGGGUAUUCCAAGGCAGCAGGUAUUAAAUAACAUAAAUCCUGCCCAGUUUGAAUUCCUCACUGCCGCAAACAGAAAGUAAUAAAAUGGUCCUUGCUCUAGCUAGUACUACAUUUUAGGUAGAGUUUGUUAUGCAGCAAAAAAUGUUAAAGACAUUUAAAAAGAAAACCUGUGGCCCAAAAUGGUGUCACCAAAAUGGCGUCACUUAGGGUAAGUCAACAAAUCAGGGCUUACUAACCAACUUCAAUGCACUUUUAUCCUCUCCCAGAAAUGUAGUCUUAACUUAUCAGGCAGGAACUUUCUGGUCACCACCACAACUGUAAUCUCACAUGGGUCCUCUAUCUUCCAAAGUAAGAAGAGAUAAUCCACCUAAUAAGACCUGCCCUUCCCCCAAGGAAAGAUGACCUUGUCUGGAACAACUCUAUCUUUUCUUUUGCUAGUAACUUUCUCAACCCCUCUCUUUCCCAUAAAAACCCUCCACAUUAUAGCACUCCUCAGUGCUCCCCUGUACUCACUAGAUAGUUUACUACCAGAUUCACGAAUUCUUUAAUAAAGACAAUUAGAGGGGAACCUGGAUGGCUCAGUCUGUUAAGCAUCUGCCUUUGGCUCAGGUCAUCAUCUCAGGGUCUUGGGAUCCAGCCCUACUUCUGACUCCCUGCUCAGCCAGGAGCCUGCUUCUCCCUUUCCCUCUGCCUGCUGCUCCCCCUGCUUGUGCUCUGUCAAAUAAAGUCUUUUUAAAAAUCAAUUAGAUCUUCAAUAUACUCAGCUGAAUUUUGUUUUAUAGCAGUGCCUCUGAAACUGGAUAAGUUUGACCUCAUCUGCUUCUAUCCGAGCCUGCAACAGGAGCAAAGAUUCGGUUCCAUCUUGAGCUGCUUACGGAGCAUGAGUCAGGGAAGGCCUGAGGAUGCCUAGCUUACGGCUAGUCUUCCUUUCCAAUAGUCAUCACACUAUGAUGAUACACAAUGGUUUUAAUCACCUAUCCUCUCCAGAUACACCUCCACCGCACCGUCUGCUUGUAUCACUAUCACAGAAAGACGACACUUGGGAAAUUUUACUGGAACUUGGAAUGUGCAGAUCUGAGCACCCCACUCUCCCCCGCAGCCCCGCCCAAGUCUCAUCCCGGUCUUUCUCCAAGGAGAGGAAGCCACGUACCGAACCCAAAUCUCCCAGGUUCCGGGCCAACCGAGGGGCCCCUUCACAGCCCGGCACCACCCACGUGCCACGGUGGCUUGUGUGUCUCCUAAGCCGCGGCGUGCGCAGGCGUGCGUCUACCGCCGUAGUCCUGGAAUGCUGAACACGACACAGACCUGACCAGUUAGAGGCCGAAUUCGGCAGCGAGGAAUGGAUGUAGAACUGGAAAUGCCUGGGUUCGUAAACGAGCUAGAAGCCUUUAUCCAAAAAAGCUUGAUCUCCUCUGCCGUGUGUCGGGGCUGGCAUGGUGGGGGAGUUUUCGCGGCUAGGAACACGCUUGCCUCCUGCUGGCU
RNAcentral lists this long non-coding RNA (3338 nucleotides) under Canis lupus familiaris (dog). Its description in RNAcentral is "lncRNA (ENSCAFG00000050614.1, ENSCAFG00845000199.1)". Lineage: Eukaryota; Metazoa; Chordata; Mammalia; Carnivora; Canidae. The record is from RNAcentral.